ACGAACGCUGGCGGCGUGCCUAAUACAUGCAAGUUGCGCGAUGAAGAUUGGUGCUUGCACCAAUUUGAAGAGCAGCGAACGGGUGAGUAACGCGUGGGGAAUCUGCCUUUGAGCGGGGGACAACAUUUGGAAACGAAUGCUAAUACCGCAUAACAACUUUAAACAUAAGUUUUAAGUUUGAAAGAUGCAAUUGCAUCACUCAAAGAUGAUCCCGCGUUGUAUUAGCUAGUUGGUGAGGUAAAGGCUCACCAAGGCGAUGAUACAUAGCCGACCUGAGAGGGUGAUCGGCCACAUUGGGACUGAGACACGGCCCAAACUCCUACGGGAGGCAGCAGUAGGGAAUCUUCGGCAAUGGACGAAAGUCUGACCGAGCAACGCCGCGUGAGUGAAGAAGGUUUUCGGAUCGUAAAACUCUGUUGGUAGAGAAGAACGUUGGUGAGAGUGGAAAGCUCAUCAAGUGACGGUAACUACCCAGAAAGGGACGGCUAACUACGUG
RNAcentral lists this ribosomal RNA (496 nucleotides) under uncultured bacterium. RNAcentral's name for it is "partial 16S ribosomal RNA". It matches the Rfam family "Bacterial small subunit ribosomal RNA", at positions 29 to 507 of the family's 1533-position model. The record is from RNAcentral.